CCUACGGGUGGCAGCAGUGGGGGAUAUUGCACAAUGGGGGAAACCCUGAUGCAGCGACGCCGCGUGGGCGAAGAAGUAUUUCGGUAUGUAAAGCCCUAUCAGCAGGGAAGAAGAAAUGACGGUACCCGAGUAAGAAGCACCGGCUAAAUACGUGCCAGCAGCCGCGGUAAUACGUAUGGUGCAAGCGUUAUCCGGAUUUACUGGGUGGAAAGGGAGCGCAGGCGGCACGGCAAGCCUGAUGUGAAAGCCCGCGGCCCAACCGCGGGACUGCAUUGGGAACUACCGGGCUGGAGUGCCGGAGAGGUAGGCGGAAUUCCUAGUGUAGCGGUGAAAUGCGUAGAUAUUAGGAGGAACACCAGUGGCGAAGGCGGCCUACUGGACGGUGACUGACGCUGAGGCUCGAAAGCGUGGGGAGCAAACAGGAUUAGAUAUCCGGGUAGUC
This 442-nucleotide ribosomal RNA is filed under the name uncultured bacterium. RNAcentral's name for it is "partial 16S ribosomal RNA". It matches the Rfam family "Bacterial small subunit ribosomal RNA", at positions 338 to 795 of the family's 1533-position model. The record is from RNAcentral.